UCAUAGAGCAACUUGGAAUCUAUAGUUUUAGGAAAUGAGGUAUGUCGUGUAAAAUAAAAUUUUAAAUCAAAACAAAGAUGUAUUUUUAUCAGAGUUUAUAGAAAGUAAUUGAAGUAAUGGGUGUAGAGGUGGUUACCUUAAGAUAAAAGAGAAUGCGGGAGGGAGGGAAGGAGACUUAGAGAACAGGGAGAUUGAAGUGGCAGGAGGAGAAGCCUGCACAGGUGAGCAGAGGACAUCAAGCAACAAGAGUUGAUCAGGAGUGGCUGAUCAGUCUUUUCAACAGCGCCUCAUCAAAUUAGCUGACAUUAGAAAGACAGUGCUAGAAGAGGAGGAAGAAGAGAAGGAAGAAGAAAGGCUGAGGAGGAGGAGAAUCAUUCCACUUGACAGCAGGGAAAAGUUUGAAGAAAUCUUUUUAGCCAGGCAAUUGAUAAUAACUUCACAAAAUGCAUUUACCCACUCAUGAAUAUUCAUCAAGGGCAUGCUACUCUGCAAGCAGUGAG
This is a long non-coding RNA of Fukomys damarensis (Damara mole-rat), 500 nucleotides long. RefSeq lists it as uncharacterized. Lineage: Eukaryota; Metazoa; Chordata; Mammalia; Rodentia; Bathyergidae. The record is from RefSeq and is a predicted model, not a curated record. The transcript is spliced from 3 exons.